RNAcentral lists this ribosomal RNA (274 nucleotides) under uncultured bacterium. RNAcentral describes it as "partial 16S ribosomal RNA". It matches the Rfam family "Bacterial small subunit ribosomal RNA", at positions 523 to 796 of the family's 1533-position model. The record is from RNAcentral.
ACACGGAGGGUGCGAGCGUUGUUCGGAAUCACUGGGCGUAAAGCGGGUGUAGGCGGUCUAGCAAGUCAGAUGUGAAAGUCCAGGGCUCAACCCUGGAAGUGCAUCUGAAACUGUUAGACUUGAGUACUGGAGAGGGAAGUGGAAUUCCUGGUGUAGGGGUGAAAUCCGUAGAUAUCAGGAGGAACACCGGUGGCGAAGGCGACUUCCUGGACAGAUACUGACGCUCAGACCCGAAAGCGUGGGGAGCAAACAGGAUUAGAAACCCGAGUAGUCC